Non-coding RNA from Pelobates cultripes (western spadefoot toad), 612 nucleotides. NCBI's taxonomy places the organism in Eukaryota, Metazoa, Chordata, Amphibia, Anura, Pelobatidae. The record is from the annotation of a GenBank genome assembly.
AGCACAUAUACUAUGGUUGCUAUGGAAACUCCAUAGUUGGCACUUCCAGGUGGGUGUUUCACAAAGAGCUGGAACAGAGUUAAGGUGAGUAAAUAUCUUCUACUUAACUGCCCCUGUCCCCUUAACCAUGCAGCUGAAAACAUUGCAGUUUUAGGGAAACUGUUUUUUCAGCUGCAGAGUUAAAGGAUCACUAUCGGCACCUAGACCACUUUAGCUUAAUGAAGUGGUCUGGGUCCAGGUCCAGCUAGGUUUAAACCUUUUUGCUGUAAACAUAGCAGUUUUUUACCUAUGGGUUAAUCCAGCCUCUAGUGGCUGUCUCAUUGACAGUCGCUUCUGCGCUUCUCACUGAUUUUUCACAAUUUCUUAGGGGGAAGGCCUAAUGUGUGUUGCGCAUUUGGUUUCAGUUUGCACUGUUGGAGACUGAGCCAGCAGUUACCUUGUCGCUGAAACAUUGAAAGUGGGGGGUAGUUUCUUUACCCUUUGAUAGCAUAUUAGGUGGUCAGCAGAGGGAUACUAUAGUCAUAUUCUUAACCCUUUUAAUUCUAUAUUCAGCAAGCAGCAGUAUUCUGUCUGGAGUGUUCUUAUAAUUAGACCAGAGCAUGGGACUAAUGG